Molecule: long non-coding RNA, 1019 nt
Filed under: Panax ginseng (ginseng)
Lineage: Eukaryota; Viridiplantae; Streptophyta; Magnoliopsida; Apiales; Araliaceae
Description: long non-coding RNA (PGIN_LNC010586)
Source: RNAcentral
UCACUGAAACUCUAGAGAGAGAAACUAUAGAGAGAGUUCUUCUUCUAUAAUCUUGAGCAUAUUUCUUUAGAGUUUAAGAAAGCUUUGAGCGUAGUGCAAGUUUUUUUUGAGUAUAUCCUCGCCCUACUAGUCAAAAUACUCUUCUUUUACGGUAGGGAAGAUUAUUUGUUGUACUCGUAGGGAAUAUUAUUUGUUGUACUCGUAGGGGAUAUUAUUUGUUGUACCCAUAAGGGGUAUUCUUUCUUUCUUAUUCGUGAAGAGAACUUAUGUUAUUCCAUUCUUUAUUAGUAUGUUGGAAUAACCUGUAUACGCGGGCUACCCUAUACUUUGUGAAAUUCUUCUGUUAUUCCAUGCUUAUUAUUAUGUUGGAAUAACCUGUCUAUGCGAAGUACUGCAUACAUGGUGAAAUUCUUCUAUUAUUCCAUUCUUUAUUAUUCUGUCGGAAUAUCUUGUCUGUGCGUUUACGCAUGACCUGGUUCCAUUAUUUAUUAUUCUGUUGGAAUAACCUGUCUGUGCGAUCUAUCGCAUGCAUGGUGAAUUCUGUUAUUCCAUUCUUAUUUAUUCUGUUGGAAUAUCCUAUCUGUGCGAUUACGCAUGACAUGGUUCCAUUAUUUAUUAUUAUGUUUGAAUAACCUGUCUGUGCGGAUUACGCACGCAUGGUGAAAUUCUUCUGUUAUUCCAUUCUUUAUUAUUAUGUUGGAAUAACCUGUCUAUGCGAAGUACUGCAUACAUGGUGAAAUUCUUUUAUUAUUCCAUUCUUUAUUAUACUGUUGGUUAUUAGUUUUACAGUUGUAUGUCUUUGGCCUGUAGUGCAAAGAUGAUAUGUUGUUGAAUAUCUUUGGCCUGUAGUGCAAUGAUGAUCUGUUGUUUUAUAGCUUUGACCCAUAGUGCGAAGAUGGACAGGUGUAUGACAUGAUCAUGACUGCUAGUGAUACUAACGAAUAUCCUUGGCUGUAGUGCAUGGAUAAUUCAAUGAUGUGAUUGGCAGGAUCAUGACCAUUAGUUAACAGUUGAAUGUC